AGUGCUUCAGCAGUCAUUCUCAGACCGUGCAAAGGUAGCAUAAUAAUUAGUUUUUUAAUUAAAAGCUAGAAUGAAUGAUUGGACGAGGGAAUAACUGUCUCUAUUUAAUUUUAAUUAGAAUUUAAUUUUUAAGUUAAAAAGCUUAAAUAUUAUUAAAAGACGAGAAGACCCUAUAGAGUUUUAUAUUAAUAUAUUUUAAAAAUUUAUAGGAUUUAAAGUUAAAAAUUUAUUUAAUAUUUAAUUGGGGUGAUAGAGAAAUAUAAUUAACUUUUUUUUUUAUUAACAUUUAUUUAUGAAAAAUUGAUCCAUUUUUAUGAUUAAAAGAUUAAAUUACCUUAGGGAUAACAGCGUAAUUUCUUUAGAGAGUUCUUAUCGAAAAAGAAGUUUGCGACCUCGAUGUUGGAUUAAAAUUAAUUUUUGGUGUAGAGGCUAAAUAAUUAAGUCUGUUCGACUUUUAAAAUUUUACAUGAUC
This 472-nucleotide ribosomal RNA is filed under the name Nazeris cultellatus. RNAcentral describes it as "partial large subunit ribosomal RNA". The stretch from base 341 to 472 matches the Rfam family "Bacterial large subunit ribosomal RNA", at positions 2473 to 2605 of the family's 2925-position model. The record is from RNAcentral. Lineage: Eukaryota; Metazoa; Arthropoda; Insecta; Coleoptera; Staphylinidae.